UACGGGGGGAGCAAGCGUUGUUCGGAUUUACUGGGCGUAAAGGGCGCGUAGGCGGCGAAACAAGUCACUUGUGAAAUCUCCGGGCUUAACCCGGAGCGGCCAAGUGAUACUGUUGUGCUAGAGUGCAGAAGGGGCAACUGGAAUUCUCGGUGUAGCGGUGAAAUGCGUAGAUAUCGAGAGGAACACCUGCGGCGAAGGCGGGUUGCUGGGCUGACACUGACGCUGAGGCGCGAAAGCCAGGGGAGCGAACGGG
This 253-nucleotide ribosomal RNA is filed under the name uncultured bacterium. RNAcentral's name for it is "partial 16S ribosomal RNA". It matches the Rfam family "Bacterial small subunit ribosomal RNA", at positions 524 to 776 of the family's 1533-position model. The record is from RNAcentral.